CCUACGGAGGGCAGCAGUAGGGAAUUUUCGGCAAUGGGGGGAACCCUGACCGAGCAACGCCGCGUGAACGAAGAAGUUAUUCGUAAUGUAAAGUUCUUUUAACAGGGACGAAAGAGAAAUUUGACGGUACCUGAAGAAUAAGCUCCGGCUAACUACGUGCCAGCAGCCGCGGUAAUACGUAGGGAGCGAGCGUUAUCCGGAAUUAUUGGGCGUAAAGGGUGCGUAGAUGGCAUAGUAAGUCUUUUGUAAAAAUGCUGGGCUCAACCCAGUAGGGCAAAAGAUACUGCAAAGCUAGAGUAUGACAGAGGCAAGUGGAACUACAUGUGUAGCGGUAAAAUGCGUAGAUAUAUGUAAGAACACCAGUGGCGAAGGCGGCUUGCUGGGUCGAUACUGACAUUGAGGCACGAAAGCGUGGGGAGCAAACACGAUUAGAUACCCCUGUAGUC
This 446-nucleotide ribosomal RNA is filed under the name uncultured bacterium. RNAcentral describes it as "partial 16S ribosomal RNA". It matches the Rfam family "Bacterial small subunit ribosomal RNA", at positions 338 to 795 of the family's 1533-position model. The record is from RNAcentral.